CCCAGGUGAGACGCCCGGUCCCAUUCCGAACCCGGAAGCUAAGGCCUGGCACGGCGAUGGUACUGCACCCGACAGGGUGUGGGAGAGUAGCACGCCGCCGCAC
Molecule: ribosomal RNA, 103 nt
Filed under: Bifidobacterium breve
Lineage: Bacteria; Bacillati; Actinomycetota; Actinomycetes; Bifidobacteriales; Bifidobacteriaceae
Source: RNAcentral